CCUACGGGCGGCAGCAGUGGGGAAUAUUGGACAAUGGGCGAAAGCCUGAUCCAGCCAUGCCGCGUGUGUGAAGAAGGCCUUCGGGUUGUAAAGCACUUUCAGUGGGGAAGAAAGCCUUGGGGCUAAUACCCUCGAGGAAGGACAUCACCCACAGAAGAAGCACCGGCUAACUCCGUGCCAGCAGCCGCGGUAAUACGGAGGGUGCGAGCGUUAAUCGGAAUUACUGGGCGUAAAGCGCGCGUAGGCGGCCUGAUAAGCCGGUUGUGAAAGCCCCGGGCUCAACCUGGGAACGGCAUCCGGAACUGUCAGGCUAGAGUGCAGGAGAGGAAGGUAGAAUUCCCGGUGUAGCGGUGAAAUGCGUAGAGAUCGGGAGGAAUACCAGUGGCGAAGGCGGCCUUCUGGACUGACACUGACGCUGAGGUGCGAAAGCGUGGGUAGCAAACAGGAUUAGAUACCCCGGUAGUC
RNAcentral lists this ribosomal RNA (465 nucleotides) under Vreelandella stevensii. RNAcentral's name for it is "partial 16S ribosomal RNA". It matches the Rfam family "Bacterial small subunit ribosomal RNA", at positions 338 to 795 of the family's 1533-position model. The record is from RNAcentral. Lineage: Bacteria; Pseudomonadati; Pseudomonadota; Gammaproteobacteria; Oceanospirillales; Halomonadaceae.